Molecule: ribosomal RNA, 519 nt
Filed under: uncultured bacterium
Lineage: Bacteria
Description: bacterial SSU rRNA
Rfam family: Bacterial small subunit ribosomal RNA
Source: RNAcentral
GAGUUUGAUCCUGGCUCAGGAUGAACGCUGGCGGCGUGCUUAACACAUGCAAGUCGAACGAAGCACUUUAUUUGAUUUCCUUCGGGACUGAUUAUUUUGUGACUGAGUGGCGGACGGGUGAGUAACGCGUGGGUAACCUGCCUUGUACAGGGGGAUAACAGUCAGAAAUGGCUGCUAAUACCGCAUAAGCGCACAGAGCUGCAUGGCUCAGUGUGAAAAACUCCGGUGGUAUAAGAUGGACCCGCGUUGGAUUAGCUUGUUGGUGGGGUAACGGCCCACCAAGGCGACGAUCCAUAGCCGGCCUGAGAGGGUGAACGGCCACAUUGGGACUGAGACACGGCCCAGACUCCUACGGGAGGCAGCAGUGGGGAAUAUUGCACAAUGGGGGAAACCCUGAUGCAGCGACGCCGCGUGAAGGAAGAAGUAUCUCGGUAUGUAAACUUCUAUCAGCAGGGAAGAUAGUGACGGUACCUGACUAAGAAGCCCCGGCUAACUACGUGCCAGCCGCCGCGGUAAUAC